Molecule: long non-coding RNA, 235 nt
Filed under: Setaria italica (foxtail millet)
Lineage: Eukaryota; Viridiplantae; Streptophyta; Magnoliopsida; Poales; Poaceae
Description: long non-coding RNA (SITA_LNC001150)
Source: RNAcentral
GGAGGGUAUGCCACGCCCCAGUUCAAUCACGUACUAGGCUUCCCCAUCCCAUACUAGGUAUGAGAUUAGUACUUUCAAACACUUGAUCACGAACGCCGACACGUUUUGACCUUAGUCCAUUUUUAUUUAGACAGAUGGGGCAAACCAUCAAGUAUCAAACAUAAGCCCGACCCUGUCUGUCGUCCUUAUAGUUGCAACAUUAAAAAAAGCAUUCAACUCCUAUAACUCGCAAGUG